Molecule: RNA transcript, 1189 nt
Organism: Zingiber officinale
Lineage: Eukaryota; Viridiplantae; Streptophyta; Magnoliopsida; Zingiberales; Zingiberaceae
Gene name: beta-carotene hydroxylase 2, chloroplastic-like
Exons: 6
Source: RefSeq, a predicted model, not a curated record
CCUCCGUCGACCACAACACCACACAGUCUAGGUGUGACCACAACACCACACACCACACACCUCGUCGGAGAGACCAAGAGAUGAUGGCGGCAGCUACGGCCGCGCUAUUCUCCCACCCUUUCUUUCCUCCACGACCCUCCGAUGGCUGCUUGCUCCUCUUCUGCCCUUCCUACCUCCGGGCUUCUCCUCUCCACCGGCGCCGUGGCGCCGCCGUCCGCUUCGUGCUCAAGGAGGUGGGCACGGAGCCGGAGAAGAAUGAUGGUGCGGCUGAUAGGCCGAUCAAGAUCCGGCUGUCGGUGGCAGAGAGAACGGCGAUGAAGCAGGCGGAGCGGCGGACCUACCUCGUCGCGGCGGUGAUGUCUACCCUCGCCAUCACAUCCACGGCGGUCGCGGCCGUCUACUACCGCUUCUACUGGCAAAUGGAGGGCGGAGAGGUUCCUCUGUCGGAGGCGUUCGGCACGUUCGCCCUCUCGGUCGGCGCAUCGGUGGGGAUGGAAUUGUGGGCGCGGUGGGCACACCGGGGGCUGUGGCACGCCUCGCUGUGGCCGAUGCACGAGUCGCACCACCGUCCGCGCGACGGGCCCUUCGAGCUCAACGACGUAUUCGCCAUCGUCAACGCCGUCCCAGCCAUCUCUCUCUUGGCCUACGGCUUCCUCAACCGCGGCCUCCUCCCCGGCCUCUGCUUCGGCGCCCUAAUCAAAUCCCACAGGGCCUCGGGAUUACGCUCUUCGGCAUCGCCUACAUGUUCGUCCACGACGGCUUGGUUCACCGCCGUUUCCCGGUCGGUCCCAUAGCCAACGUUCCCUACUUCCAGCGAGUAGCCGCCGCCCAUCAGAUCCACCACAUGGACAAGUUCGACGGCGUGCCCUACGGCCUGUUCUUGGGACCAAAGGAACUGGAGGAAGUGGGAGGCGUGGAGGAGCUGGAGAAGGAAGUCGCCCGAAGAACCAAACUCCACAGCGACAGCGAACCCAGCAGCUGAGAUUCUCUGUGUGUGUGUGUGUUUUUUUUCUCCUUAAAAUGAUCUGAUCUGGAUGAUCUACAAAGGGAGCAGGAAAUUUUUUGAAACUGAGCUUUUAAUUAAUGAUUUUGAUAAAUUUGUGGAAGACUGAAGAUAAUCAAAUAGGUUUUUGAUAAUGUAAAUGUACAGUCCUUUGCGAUGGCAAAAAGAUGAAUACGUUUGUCUUCA